CCGUGGGACAGAUGCUAGCCAAGGUUCUGAGGUCUCAUCUUUGGCUGGUCUCUUCUCUGCAG
Molecule: microRNA precursor, 62 nt
Filed under: Dasypus novemcinctus (nine-banded armadillo)
Lineage: Eukaryota; Metazoa; Chordata; Mammalia; Cingulata; Dasypodidae
Description: miRNA (ENSDNOG00000040570.1)
Source: RNAcentral